GGGGGUGUACCGGAUUCGACCUCUUGCCGUAGCCUGAGGCUGCAUGUCGGAGAUAAUGGAGGCUCCGUAUCAAUCCAUUACAAAAAUUAAUUGGCGAAGAACAAUUCGCUCUUGCUGCUUAGUUCAGCAACGUCUCUACCUAGACACCUACUAUAGACUAGAGGCGCCGACUAGUAGGCAUAGCUUAUGUGUUUGUCUUCACUCAUAAGUCGUAUUUUUGAAGACAUGGAAAUUAAAGAGUGUGCUUUUUCACGCUUUAAGGACGACAAUAAAUAAAAAGAUAAACAUGUAGAUGCCCCUUGUGAACACAAGAGACACGCGGGUUCGACUCCCGCCACCUCCACCA
This 346-nucleotide transfer-messenger RNA is filed under the name Opitutales. RNAcentral's name for it is "GCA-2690565 sp002457235 Standard tmRNA". It matches the Rfam family "transfer-messenger RNA". Rfam says of the family: Bacterial tmRNA, also known as 10Sa RNA or SsrA, is named for its dual tRNA and mRNA-like properties. Its role is to liberate the mRNA from a stalled ribosome. To accomplish this part of the tmRNA is used as a reading frame that ends in a translation stop signal. RNAcentral also lists the same sequence under 1 other name. Lineage: Bacteria; Pseudomonadati; Verrucomicrobiota; Opitutia. The record is from RNAcentral.